Molecule: ribosomal RNA, 553 nt
Filed under: uncultured crenarchaeote
Lineage: Archaea; Thermoproteati; Thermoproteota
Description: bacterial SSU rRNA
Rfam family: Archaeal small subunit ribosomal RNA
Source: RNAcentral
AUGGGGUGCAGCAGGCGAGAAAACUUUGCAAUGUGCGAAAGCACGACAAGGUUAAUCCGAGUGAUUCCUGCUAAAGGAAUCUUUUGUUAGUCAUAAAACCACUAAUGAAUAAGGGGUGGGCAAGUUCUGGUGUCAGCCGCCGCGGUAAAACCAGCACCUCAAGUGGUCAGGAUGAUUAUUGGGCCUAAAGCAUCCGUAGCCGGCUCUGUUAGUUUUCGGUUAAAUCCAUAUGCUCAACAUAUGGGCCGCCGGGAAUACUACAAAGCUAGGGAGUGGGAGAGGUAGACGGUACUCCGUAGGAAGGGGUAAAAUCCUUUGAUCUAUGGAUGACCACCAGUGGCGAAGGCGGUCUACCAGAACACGUUCGACGGUGAGGGGUGAAAGCUGGGGGAGCAAACCGGAUUAGAUACCCGGGUAGUCCCAGCUGUAAACUAUGCAAACUCAGUGAUGCAUUGGCUUGUGGCCAGUGCAGUGCCGCAGAGGAGUCGUUAAGUUUGCCGCCUGGGAAGUACGUACGCAAGUAUGAAACUUAAAGGAAUUGGCGGGGGAGCAC